Molecule: ribosomal RNA, 497 nt
Filed under: uncultured bacterium
Lineage: Bacteria
Description: partial 16S ribosomal RNA
Rfam family: Bacterial small subunit ribosomal RNA
Source: RNAcentral
GAUGAACGCUGGCGGCGUGCCUAGUACAUGCAAGUCGAGCGAACGGACGGGAAGCUUGCUUCUCUGAUGUUAGCGGCGGACGGGUGAGUAACACGUGGAUAACCUACCUAUAAGACUGGGAUAACUUCGGGAAACCGUAGCUAAUACCGGAUAAUAUUUUGAACCGCAUGGUUCAAAAGUGAAAGACGGUCUUGCUGUCACUUAUAGAUGGAUCCGCGCUGCAUUAGCUAGUUGGUAAGGUAACGGCUUACCAAGGCAACGAUGCAUAGCCGACCUGAGAGGGUGAUCGGCCACACUGGAACUGAGACACGGUCCAGACUCCUACGGGAGGCAGCAGUAGGGAAUCUUCCGCAAUGGGCGAAAGCCUGACGGGGCAACGCCGCGUGAGUGAUGAAGGUCUUCGGAUCGUAAAACUCUGUUAUUAGGGAAGAACAUAUGUGUAAGUAACUGUGCACAUCUUGACGGUACCUAAUCAGAAAGCCACGGCUAACUACGUG